ACUCUAAGCCUUUUCUUAGAGUUUCUUCCAAAGUUUUCCUAAGUCUUCCUCUACCCCUUCGGUCCUGAACCUCUGUCCCGUAGUCACAUCUUCGAACCGGAGCGUCAGUCGGCCUUCUUUGCACAUGUCCAAAUCACCAGAACCGAUUUUUUCUCAUCUUUCCUUCAAUUUCGGCUACUCCUACUUUACCUCGGAUAUCCUCAUUCUCAAUCUUAUCCUUUCUCGUGUGCCCACACAUCCCACGAAGCAUCCUCAUCUCCGCUACACCCAUUUUGUGUACGUGUUGAUGUUUCACCGCCCAACAUUCUGUGCCAUACAACAUCGCUGGCCUUAUUGCCGUCCUAUAAAAUUUUCCCUUGAGCUUCAGUGGCCUACGACGGUCACACAACACACGCCGGAUGCACUCUUACACUUUCAUCCAUCCAGCUCGUAUUCUAUGGUUGAGAUCUCCAUCUAAUUCUCCGUUCUCUUGCGAGAUAGAUCCUAGGUAGCGAAAACAGUCGCUUUUUGUGAUCUUCACUAGAUUGCUCCGAUCAUUAGUGUGGAUAAGUAUAUAAAUGGAUAGAGAUAGGAAAGCAAACACAAGAUGUACGUGGUUCACCCAGAUUGGCUACGUCCGCGGAAUAGAAGAGUUCUCAUUAAUUGUGAAGGGUUUACACAAGUACAUAUGUUCAAGCUCUCCUUUAGUGAGUACAAGUGAAUGAUUUAGUACAAAUGACAUUAGAGUACAAAUGACAUUAGGAAAUAUUGUGGGAGAACGAUCUCGUAAUCACGAAACUUCUAAGUAUCGGAGUGUGGUAUCAUCUUGACUUGCCUUAUCUGUCGCAUAGGUAGAUGUGGCAGCUUCUCUGGAAGUACUCUUCCUCCAUCCAGGGGUGGUAUCUUUAACUGGUGAAGAUGCACAAG
Molecule: long non-coding RNA, 906 nt
Filed under: Malus domestica (apple)
Lineage: Eukaryota; Viridiplantae; Streptophyta; Magnoliopsida; Rosales; Rosaceae
Description: long non-coding RNA (MDOM_LNC013831)
Source: RNAcentral